UACGUAGGGGGCUAGCGUUGUCCGGAAUCAUUGGGCGUAAAGAGCGUGUAGGCUGCUCGGUAAAGUCCGCUGUAAAAAGUCAAAGGCUCAACCUUUGAAUGUCAGUGGAUACUGCCGGGCUAGAGUCCGGAAGAGGCGAGUGGAACUCCUGGUGUAGCGGUGGAAUGCGCAGAUAUCAGGAAGAACACCAACGGCGAAGGCAGCUCUGGGACGGUACUGACGCUGAGACGCGAAAAGCGUGGGGGGAGCGAACAGG
This 256-nucleotide ribosomal RNA is filed under the name uncultured bacterium. RNAcentral describes it as "partial 16S ribosomal RNA". It matches the Rfam family "Bacterial small subunit ribosomal RNA", at positions 524 to 776 of the family's 1533-position model. The record is from RNAcentral.